This is a non-coding RNA of Chlorocebus sabaeus (green monkey), 278 nucleotides long. It matches the Rfam family "Metazoan signal recognition particle RNA". Rfam says of the family: The signal recognition particle (SRP) is a universally conserved ribonucleoprotein. It is involved in the co-translational targeting of proteins to membranes. The eukaryotic SRP consists of a 300-nucleotide 7S RNA and six proteins: SRPs 72, 68, 54, 19, 14, and 9. NCBI's taxonomy places the organism in Eukaryota, Metazoa, Chordata, Mammalia, Primates, Cercopithecidae. The record is from Rfam.
GCCAGUCGUGGCGGCGCUCAUCUGUAAUCCCAGCUACUCGGGAGGCUGAGGCAGGAGAAUCACUUGAACCCGGGAGGCGGAGGUUGCAGUGAACCGAGAUCAUGUCCCUGCACUCCAGCCUGGGCAACAAGAGCAAAAACUCCGUCUCAAAAAAAAAAGAAGAAGAAGAAGAAGAAGAAGACAGAGUCUGGCUCUGUCGCCCAGGCUGGAGUGCAGUGGCAUCAUCUCGGCUCACUGCAACCUCCGCCUCCCGGGUUCAAGUGAUUGCUCUGCCUCAG